AGAGUUUGAUCAUGGCUCAGGAUGAACGCUAGCUACAGGCUUAACACAUGCAAGUCGAGGGGAAACGACAUCGAAAGCUUGCUUUUGAUGGGCGUCGACCGGCGCACGGGUGAGUAACGCGUGUCCAACCUGCCCAUCACUUGGGGAUAACCUUGCGAAAGUAAGACUAAUACCCAAUGACGUCUCUAGAAGACAUCUGAAAGAGAUUAAAGAUUUAUCGGUGAUGGAUGGGGAUGCGUCUGAUUAGCUUGUUGGCGGGGUAACGGCCACCAAGGCGACGAUCAGUAGGGGUUCUGAGAGGAAGGUCCCCCAUAUUGGAACUGAGACACGGUCCAAACUCCUACGGAAGGCA
RNAcentral lists this ribosomal RNA (352 nucleotides) under uncultured bacterium. Its description in RNAcentral is "bacterial SSU rRNA". It matches the Rfam family "Bacterial small subunit ribosomal RNA", at positions 8 to 350 of the family's 1533-position model. The record is from RNAcentral.